This 465-nucleotide ribosomal RNA is filed under the name Vreelandella stevensii. RNAcentral describes it as "partial 16S ribosomal RNA". It matches the Rfam family "Bacterial small subunit ribosomal RNA", at positions 338 to 795 of the family's 1533-position model. Lineage: Bacteria; Pseudomonadati; Pseudomonadota; Gammaproteobacteria; Oceanospirillales; Halomonadaceae. The record is from RNAcentral.
CCUACGGGUGGCUGCAGUGGGGAAUAUUGGACAAUGGGCGAAAGCCUGAUCCAGCCAUGCCGCGUGUGUGAAGAAGGCCUUCGGGUUGUAAAGCACUUUCAGUGGGGAAGAAAGCCUUGGGGCUAAUACCCUCGAGGAAGGACAUCACCCACAGAAGAAGCACCGGCUAACUCCGUGCCAGCAGCCGCGGUAAUACGGAGGGUGCGAGCGUUAAUCGGAAUUACUGGGCGUAAAGCGCGCGUAGGCGGUCUGAUAAGCCGGUUGUGAAAGCCCCGGGCUCAACCUGGGAACGGCAUCCGGAACUGUCAGGCUAGAGUGCAGGAGAGGAAGGUAGAAUUCCCGGUGUAGCGGUGAAAUGCGUAGAGAUCGGGAGGAAUACCAGUGGCCAAGGCGGCCUUCUGGACUGACACUGACGCUGAGGUGCGAAAGCGUGGGUAGCAAACAGGAUUAGAUACCCGGGUAGUC